AUACGUAGGGUGCAAGCGUUAAUCGGAAUUACUGGGCGUAAAGCGUGCGCAGGCGGUUUUUGAAGACAGAGGUGAAAUCCCCGGGCUCAACCUGGGAACUGCCUUUGUGACUGCAAGGCUAGAGUACGGCAGAGGGGGGUUGAAUUCCGCGGGGAGCAGUGAAAUGCGUAGAUAUGCGGAGGAACACCGAUGGCGAAGGCAAUCCCCUGGGCCUGUACUGACGCUCAUGCACGAAAGCGUGGGGAGCAAACAGGAUUAGAUACCCUGGUAGUCCACGCCCUAAACGAUGUCAACUGGUUGUUGGGUCUUCAUUGACUCAGUAACGAAGCUAACGCGUGAAGUUGACCGCCUGGGGAGUACGGCCGCAAGGUUGAAACUCAAAUGAAUUGGCGGGG
This 395-nucleotide ribosomal RNA is filed under the name uncultured bacterium. RNAcentral's name for it is "partial 16S ribosomal RNA". It matches the Rfam family "Bacterial small subunit ribosomal RNA", at positions 523 to 918 of the family's 1533-position model. The record is from RNAcentral.